GAACAGAUCAGCAAAUCAUUCCUGAUUCUGAAAAGAAAUAGAUCCUGAAAUUUACCUGAACCGCUGUGAUGUGAUUACCCUCAACCCGAUGUUGCGUGGACAAAUAGUAAUUCAGUUCCAUCUUGGUCGCAGGUGCCUGCAGCGUGCGAGACAACAGCAGUGAUGUUUAGGUUUGCAUCGGGCACUGGACUCUACCCCUGUUGUCAGACGGAGAGGAGAAGGGUACACCAUGAGCAGGUGACCAGUCUACUGCAGGGCUAACACAGAGAGCCUUUCACACCUAAGGCCAAUAUGGAAUCACCAAUUAACCUGACAUGCAUGUCUUUGGAGUAUUGGAGGAAGCCAGAGAGACACAGGGAGAACAUGCAAAUUCCAGACAGAAAGGCCACAGUCGACCAGUGGAUUUGAACCCAGGACCUUCUUCCUAUGAGGCAACCACUCCACCAUUGUACUGCCAGUUUUGAUAAAGAUCUGCUUCUCCUCUGAUAAAAGUCUGAAUUUAAACAAAUUUGUGUGAUAUGUGUAGUUUAAUUGUAAAACUAAACUAAUCAGAUUUUAGUCUCUAUAUUUGGAGGCAAGUAGAAACGCAGUAGCGAUGCUGCAUUCCUAAACAUCAUUUGCUCCCAAGCCAAAUCACACAAUACAUCUCCCAGUAUGUCUUACUACUCAGACAGUUGCAAGUGCUUAAAGAAAUCUGACUGAAGCAGGACGAUGGAGCAUGAAGGAUGCACAACAAAGAGAGCUGAAUCACACAGAGGAUAUGAUUGGAGGGAGCUGGGCAAAAGUCAUUAUAUAGAUUCAAGAAAGUGCCCUAAGGUUAGG
Molecule: long non-coding RNA, 822 nt
Organism: Oreochromis niloticus (Nile tilapia)
Lineage: Eukaryota; Metazoa; Chordata; Actinopteri; Cichliformes; Cichlidae
Exons: 3
Source: RefSeq, a predicted model, not a curated record